This 75-nucleotide transfer RNA is filed under the name Aeromicrobium panaciterrae. RNAcentral describes it as "tRNA-Leu". It matches the Rfam family "tRNA", at positions 16 to 71 of the family's 71-position model. Rfam says of the family: Transfer RNA (tRNA) molecules are approximately 80 nucleotides in length. Lineage: Bacteria; Bacillati; Actinomycetota; Actinomycetes; Propionibacteriales; Nocardioidaceae. The record is from RNAcentral.
CGCAGAUCUCGUACGCCCGGAGUCGCUGGGCUCAAAACCCAGAGGUCACAGGUUCAAAUCCUGUCCCCGCUACCA